Molecule: ribosomal RNA, 253 nt
Filed under: uncultured bacterium
Lineage: Bacteria
Description: partial 16S ribosomal RNA
Rfam family: Bacterial small subunit ribosomal RNA
Source: RNAcentral
UACAGAGGUCUCAAGCGUUGUUCGGAUUCAUUGGGCGUAAAGGGUGUGUAGGUGGCGCGCUAAGUCGGGUGUGAAAUUUCGGAGCUUAACUCCGAAACUGCAUUCGAUACUGGCGUGCUUGAGGACUGGAGAGGAGACUGGAAUUUACGGUGUAGCAGUGAAAUGCGUAGAUAUCGUAAGGAAGACCAGUGGCGAAGGCGGGUCUCUGGACAGUUCCUGACACUGAGACACGAGGGCCAGGGGAGCAAACGGG